This 286-nucleotide ribosomal RNA is filed under the name uncultured bacterium. RNAcentral's name for it is "partial 16S ribosomal RNA". It matches the Rfam family "Bacterial small subunit ribosomal RNA", at positions 335 to 639 of the family's 1533-position model. The record is from RNAcentral.
UCCCUACGGGGGGCAGCAGUAGGGAAUAUUGCUCAAUGGGGGAAACCCUGAAGCAGCAACGCCGCGUGGAGGAUGAAGGUUUUAGGAUUGUAAACUCCUUUUGUAAGAGAAGAUUAUGACGGUAUCUUACGAAUAAGCACCGGCUAACUCCGUGCCAGCAGCCGCGGUAAUACGGAGGGCGCAAGCGUUACUCGGAAUCACUGGGCGUAAAGGGUGCGCAGGCGGUUGAGUAAGACAGAUGUGAAAUCCCCGAGCUUAACUCGGGAAUGGCAUAUGUGACUGCUCG